AUCUUGUACUGAAUCCAUAGGUGCAAGAGGCGAACCAGGGGAACUGAAACAUCUAAGUACCCUGAGGAAAAGAAAUCAACCGAGAUUCCCUUAGUAGUGGCGAGCGAACGGGGAUUAGCCCUUAAGCUUCAUUGAUUUUAGCGGAACGCUCUGGAAAGUGCGGCCAUAGUGGGUGAUAGCCCCGUACGCGAAAGGAUCUUUGAAGUGAAAUCGAGUAGGACGGAGCACGAGAAACUUUGUCUGAACAUGGGGGGACCAUCCUCCAAGGCUAAAUACUACUGACUGACCGAUAGUGAACCAGUACCGUGAGGGAAAGGCGAAAAGAACCCCGGAGAGGGGAGUGAAAUAGAACCUGAAACCGUAUGCGUACAAGCAGUGGGAGCCUACUUGUUAGGUGACUGCGUACCUUUUGUAUAAUGGGUCAGCGACUUAUAUUCAGUGGCAAGCUUAACCGUAUAGGGUAGGCGUAGCGAAAGCGAGUCUUAAUAGGGCGUUUAGUCGCUGGGUAUAGACCCGAAACCGGGCGAUCUAUCCAUGAGCAGGUUGAAGGUUAGGUAACACUGACUGGAGGACCGAACCCACUCCCGUUGAAAAGGUAGGGGAUGACUUGUGGAUCGGAGUGAAAGGCUAAUCAAGCUCGGAGAUAGCUGGUUCUCCUCGAAAGCUAUUUAGGUAGCGCCUCAUGUAUCACUCUGGGGGGUAGAGCACUGUUUCGGCUAGGGGGUCAUCCCGACUUACCAAACCGAUGCAAACUCCGAAUACCCAGAAGUGCCGAGCAUGGGAGACACACGGCGGGUGCUAACGUCCGUCGUGAAAAGGGAAACAACCCAGACCGCCAGCUAAGGUCCCAAAGUUGUGGUUAAGUGGUAAACGAUGUGGGAAGGCUUAGACAGCUAGGAGGUUGGCUUAGAAGCAGCCAUCCUUUAAAGAAAGCGUAAUAGCUCACUAGUCGAGUCGGCCUGCGCGGAAGAUGUAACGGGGCUCAAACCACACACCGAAGCUGCGGGUGUCACGUAAGUGACGCGGUAGAGGAGCGUUCUGUAAGCCUGUGAAGGUGAGUUGAGAAGCUUGCUGGAGGUAUCAGAAGUGCGAAUGCUGACAUGAGUAACGACAAUGGGUGUGAAAAACACCCACGCCGAAAGACCAAGGGUUCCUGCGCAACGUUAAUCGACGCAGGGUUAGUCGGUUCCUAAGGCGAGGCUGAAAAGCGUAGUCGAUGGGAAACAGGUUAAUAUUCCUGUACUUCUGGUUACUGCGAUGGAGGGACGGAGAAGGCUAGGCCAGCUUGGCGUUGGUUGUCCAAGUUUAAGGUGGUAGGCUGAAAUCUUAGGUAAAUCCGGGGUUUCAAGGCCGAGAGCUGAUGACGAGUCGUCUUUUAGAUGACGAAGUGGUUGAUGCCAUGCUUCCAAGAAAAGCUUCUAAGCUUCAGGUAAUCAGGAACCGUACCCCAAACCGACACAGGUGGUCGGGUAGAGAAUACCAAGGCGCUUGAGAGAACUCGGGUGAAGGAACUAGGCAAAAUGGCACCGUAACUUCGGGAGAAGGUGCGCCGGCUAGGGUGAAGGAUUUACUCCGUAAGCUCUGGCUGGUCGAAGAUACCAGGCCGCUGCGACUGUUUAUUAAAAACACAGCACUCUGCAAACACGAAAGUGGACGUAUAGGGUGUGACGCCUGCCCGGUGCCGGAAGGUUAAUUGAUGGGGUUAGCGCAAGCGAAGCUCUUGAUCGAAGCCCCGGUAAACGGCGGCCGUAACUAUAACGGUCCUAAGGUAGCGAAAUUCCUUGUCGGGUAAGUUCCGACCUGCACGAAUGGCGUAACGAUGGCGGCGCUGUCUCCACCCGAGACUCAGUGAAAUUGAAAUCGCUGUGAAGAUGCAGUGUAUCCGCGGCUAGACGGAAAGACCCCGUGAACCUUUACUGUAGCUUUGCACUGGACUUUGAGCCUGCUUGUGUAGGAUAGGUGGGAGGCUUUGAAGCGUGGACGCCAGUUCGCGUGGAGCCAUCCUUGAAAUACCACCCUGGCAUGCUUGAGGUUCUAACUCUGGUCCGUGAUCCGGAUCGAGGACAGUGUAUGG
Molecule: ribosomal RNA, 2074 nt
Filed under: Pseudomonas aeruginosa
Lineage: Bacteria; Pseudomonadati; Pseudomonadota; Gammaproteobacteria; Pseudomonadales; Pseudomonadaceae
Description: bacterial LSU rRNA
Rfam family: Bacterial large subunit ribosomal RNA
Source: RNAcentral